RNAcentral lists this ribosomal RNA (493 nucleotides) under uncultured bacterium. RNAcentral's name for it is "bacterial SSU rRNA". It matches the Rfam family "Bacterial small subunit ribosomal RNA", at positions 903 to 1397 of the family's 1533-position model. The record is from RNAcentral.
AAAGGAAUUGACGGGGGCCCGCACAAGCGGUGGAGCAUGUGGUUUAAUUCGAAGCUACGCGAAGAACCUUACCAGGUCUUGACAUCUUGCGCUAACCUCAGAGAUGAGGCGUUCCCUUCGGGGACGCAAUGACAGGUGGUGCAUGGUCGUCGUCAGCUCGUGUCGUGAGAUGUUGGGUUAAGUCCCGCAACGAGCGCAACCCUUGUUACUAGUUGCCAGCAUUCAGUUGGGCACUCUAGUGAGACUGCCGGUGACAAACCGGAGGAAGGUGGGGACGACGUCAGAUCAUCAUGCCCCUUAUGACCUGGGCUACACACGUGCUACAAUGGGCGAUACAACGAGCUGCAAACCCGCGAGGGUAAGCUAAUCUCUUAAAAUCGUUCUCAGUUCGGACUGUAGUCUGCAACCCGACUACACGAAGUCGGAAUCGCUAGUAAUCGCGGAUCAGCAUGCCGCGGUGAAUACGUUCCCGGGCCUUGCACACACCGCCCGU